This 316-nucleotide ribosomal RNA is filed under the name uncultured eukaryote. RNAcentral describes it as "partial large subunit ribosomal RNA". It matches the Rfam family "Eukaryotic large subunit ribosomal RNA", at positions 40 to 350 of the family's 3401-position model. The record is from RNAcentral.
AUAUAACUAAGCGGAGGAAAAGAAACUAACUAGGAUUCCUUUAGUAACGGCGAGUGAACAAGGAACAGCCCAUCACCGAAUCCUUCUUGGCUUUCAGGUAAGGAAUUGUGGUGUAAAGGACAGUCUUCGCUAUAGUAUCGUCGGUCCAAGUUCUCUUGAAUGGGGCUCCCAUAGCGGGUGUCAGGCCUCUAGCGACCGAUCGAUGCUGUAUCUUUGUCUGUCCCGAGAGUCGGGUUGCUUGAGAUCGCAGCCCUAAGACGGGUGGUAAACUCCAUCCAAGGCUAAAUACCGUCGCGAGACCGAUAGCGCACAAGUA